GCUGGUGUAGCUCAAUUGGCAGAGCAGCUGAUUUGUAAUCAGCAGGUCGCGGGUUCGAAUCCCAUCACCAGCUCCA
RNAcentral lists this transfer RNA (76 nucleotides) under Andreesenella acetica. Its description in RNAcentral is "Clostridium aceticum tRNA-Thr". It matches the Rfam family "tRNA". From Rfam's summary of the family: Transfer RNA (tRNA) molecules are approximately 80 nucleotides in length. Their secondary structure includes four short double-helical elements and three loops (D, anti-codon, and T loops). Further hydrogen bonds mediate the characteristic L-shaped molecular structure. tRNAs have two regions of fundamental functional importance: the anti-codon, which is responsible for specific mRNA codon recognition, and the 3' end, to which the tRNAs corresponding amino acid is attached (by aminoacyl-tRNA synthetases). tRNAs cope with the degeneracy of the genetic code in two manners: having more than one tRNA (with a specific anti-codon) for a particular amino acid; and 'wobble' base-pairing, i.e. permitting non-standard base-pairing at the 3rd anti-codon position. RNAcentral also lists the same sequence under 1 other name. The record is from RNAcentral. Lineage: Bacteria; Bacillati; Bacillota; Clostridia; Peptostreptococcales; Natronincolaceae.